This 430-nucleotide ribosomal RNA is filed under the name Bacillota bacterium. RNAcentral's name for it is "Firmicutes bacterium partial 16S ribosomal RNA". It matches the Rfam family "Bacterial small subunit ribosomal RNA", at positions 355 to 776 of the family's 1533-position model. The record is from RNAcentral. Lineage: Bacteria; Bacillati; Bacillota.
UGGGGAAUAUUGGACAAUGGGCGCAAGCCUGAUCCAGCCAUGCCGCGUGUGUGAAGAAGGCCUUUUGGUUGUAAAGCACUUUAAGCGAGGAGGAGGCUACUUGGAUUAAAACUCUAGGAUAGUGGACGUUACUCGCAGAAUAAGCACCGGCUAACUCUGUGCCAGCAGCCGCGGUAAUACAGAGGGUGCGAGCGUUAAUCGGAUUUACUGGGCGUAAAGCGUGCGUAGGCGGCUUCUUAAGUCGGAUGUGAAAUCCCUGAGCUUAACUUAGGAAUUGCAUUCGAUACUGGGAAGCUAGAGUAUGGGAGAGGAUGGUAGAAUUCCAGGUGUAGCGGUGAAAUGCGUAGAGAUCUGGAGGAAUACCGAUGGCGAAGGCAGCCAUCUGGCCUAAUACUGACGCUGAGGUACGAAAGCAUGGGGAGCAAACAGG